GCUGGUUGAUAGGCACGGUGUGGAAGCGCUGCAAGGCGUUGAGCUAACGUGUACUAAUGGCCCGUGAGGCUUGACCCUAUAACACCCAAGGGGU
RNAcentral lists this ribosomal RNA (94 nucleotides) under Vreelandella rituensis. RNAcentral describes it as "Halomonas sp. TQ8S partial 23S ribosomal RNA". Lineage: Bacteria; Pseudomonadati; Pseudomonadota; Gammaproteobacteria; Oceanospirillales; Halomonadaceae. The record is from RNAcentral.